Molecule: ribosomal RNA, 593 nt
Filed under: Dujonia oleophila
Lineage: Eukaryota; Fungi; Ascomycota; Pichiomycetes; Serinales; Debaryomycetaceae
Description: eukaryotic LSU rRNA
Rfam family: Eukaryotic large subunit ribosomal RNA
Source: RNAcentral
CGGAGGAAAAGAAACCAACAGGGAUUGCCUUAGUAACGGCGAGUGAAGCGGCAAAAGCUCAAAUUUGAAAUCUAGCACUUUCAGUGUUCGAGUUGUAAUUUGAAGAAGGUAACUUUGGAAUUGGCUCUUGUCUAUGUUCCUUGGAACAGGACGUCACAGAGGGUGAGAAUCCCGUGCGAUGAGAUGUCCAAUUCUAUGUAAAGUGCUUUCGAAGAGUCGAGUUGUUUGGGAAUGCAGCUCUAAGUGGGUGGUAAAUUCCAUCUAAAGCUAAAUAUUGGCGAGAGACCGAUAGCGAACAAGUACAGUGAUGGAAAGAUGAAAAGAACUUUGAAAAGAGAGUGAAAAAGUACGUGAAAUUGUUGAAAGGGAAGGGCUUGAGAUCAGACUUGGUAUUUUGUGUUCCUUAUUCUUUUUGGAUUUGGUUCCUCACAGCUUACCGGGCCAGCAUCGGUUUGGAUGGUAGGAUAAUGACAUUGGAAUGUAGCUUUGCUUCGGUGAAGUGUUAUAGACUUUGUUGAUACUGCCUAUCUAGACCGAGGACUGCGUCUUUGACUAGGAUGCUGGCGUAAUGAUCUUAAGCCGCCCGUCUUGAA